UACGAAGGGAGCUAGCGUUGUUCGGAAUCACUGGGCGUAAAGCGCGCGUAGGCGGCUUUGCAAGUCAGGGGUGAAAUCCCACAGCUUAACUGUGGAACUGCCUUUGAAACUGCAAGGCUGGAAUGUGAGAUGGGAUGGCGGAAUUCCUAAUGUAGAGGUGAAAUUCGUAGAUAUUAGGAGGAACACCGGUGGCGAAAGCGGCCAUCUGGAUCACAAUUGACGCUGAAGUGCGAAAGCGUGGGUAGCAAACAGG
This 253-nucleotide ribosomal RNA is filed under the name uncultured bacterium. RNAcentral's name for it is "partial 16S ribosomal RNA". It matches the Rfam family "Bacterial small subunit ribosomal RNA", at positions 524 to 776 of the family's 1533-position model. The record is from RNAcentral.